AACCACAUUCACUUCACACCAAGAUAACACAUCCCAAAGAGUGAUCUAACAUGUCAUUCUCUAGUCCAUUAUCAACUAAUGGAUAUAAUAAUAUUACAGGUUAGAAUUUAUCCCCAAGGCAAUUUUUGGAACAGAAACAGUAAAACAAAAUAUACUGAGUACUCUCAUUAGUCUAGAUGCAGAUACCAAAAUUUUUGUACCAAAUUUGGUGUAAAAGUAGCAGCAGGUGUUGACCAUUGCAAGCAUUUCGUGAGCUUUGUUGCGAUUUUCAUCAUUUCCAGGCCCUCAAGUUUUUCCCAAUCAAAAAGAUGUAUUUUAACACAUUCAAAAUUGACGCCUGGGGGGUCGCUCUUCUGCAGCGCUUACGCGAAUGGGCCUGCCAUCAAGAGGUCAACAAGGCAAUCGAUAGCUUGAAUGGCUUUGACCUUGAUGGCAGG
This 437-nucleotide unclassified non-coding RNA is filed under the name Hevea brasiliensis (rubber tree). The record is from RNAcentral. Lineage: Eukaryota; Viridiplantae; Streptophyta; Magnoliopsida; Malpighiales; Euphorbiaceae.